Molecule: ribosomal RNA, 515 nt
Filed under: uncultured bacterium
Lineage: Bacteria
Description: bacterial SSU rRNA
Rfam family: Bacterial small subunit ribosomal RNA
Source: RNAcentral
UAGUCCACGCUGUAAACGAUGAUUACUAGAUGUUCGGACUUCGGUCUGAGUGUCCAAGCGAAAGCGAUAAGUAAUCCACCUGGGGAGUACGUUCGCAAGAAUGAAACUCAAAGGAAUUGACGGGGGCCCGCACAAGCGGUGGAGCAUGUGGUUUAAUUCGAUGAUAUGCGAGGAACCUUACCUGGGCUACAAUGCCUCUGCUACACCCUGAAAGGGGUGGUUCCUUCGGGACAGAGUGCAAGGUGCUGCAUGGUUGUCGUCAGCUCGUGCCGUGAGGUGUUGGGUUAAGUCCCGCAACGAGCGCAACCCCUAUCGUUAGUUGCCAGCAAGUUAUGUUGGGGACUCUAACGAGACUGCCCGCGUAAGCGGAGAGGAAGGUGGGGACGACGUCAAAUCAUCAUGGCCUUUAUGCCCAGGGCUACACACGUGCUACAAUGGCCAGUACAAAGGGUUGCCAACCCGCAAGGGGGAGCCAAUCCCAGAAAGCUGGUCCCAGUUCGGAUUGGAGUCUGCAA